This 327-nucleotide ribosomal RNA is filed under the name Triticum aestivum (bread wheat). Its description in RNAcentral is "partial small subunit ribosomal RNA". Lineage: Eukaryota; Viridiplantae; Streptophyta; Magnoliopsida; Poales; Poaceae. The record is from RNAcentral.
AUGUCGAGGAGGUCCUUCUCCGUGAUGGUCGACUGGAUCCAGUCGCCUUGGACCCAGCCUUUCGGCAGGCGGGAUCUGGACGAGGAUCCUCUGCGGCUGGUGGAUCUCCCCUUCGCCUUCUCCGAUGCCGACGCCUUCUUGGCACGCUCCAGCGCCGCCGUCUUCUCCUUGGCCAUGGUCGCCGGUGAGAUGCACGAAGGGAAGCGGUGCGGAGGCGAGAGCGGGCACGCUGAGCAGGGAGGAAGGGAGCAGAGGGAGAGAGGGAGAAUGCUGAGGCGCAGCACAGAAAUCCUCGCCGGGCACAUUUAUAAGGUCCCUUCCGAGUGA